This 405-nucleotide ribosomal RNA is filed under the name Streptomyces variabilis. RNAcentral's name for it is "bacterial SSU rRNA". It matches the Rfam family "Bacterial small subunit ribosomal RNA", at positions 61 to 482 of the family's 1533-position model. The record is from RNAcentral. Lineage: Bacteria; Bacillati; Actinomycetota; Actinomycetes; Kitasatosporales; Streptomycetaceae.
GUCGACGAUGACCUCCUUCGGGAGGGGAUUAGUGGCGAACGGGUGAGUAACACGUGGGCAAUCUGCCCUGCACUCUGGGACAAGCCCUGGAAACGGGGUCUAAUACCGGAUACUGACCCGCUUGGGCAUCCAAGCGGUUCGAAAGCUCCGGCGGUGCAGGAUGAGCCCGCGGCCUAUCAGCUUGUUGGUGAGGUAACGGCUCACCAAGGCGACGACGGGUAGCCGGCCUGAGAGGGCGACCGGCCACACUGGGACUGAGACACGGCCCAGACUCCUACGGGAGGCAGCAGUGGGGAAUAUUGCACAAUGGGCGAAAGCCUGAUGCAGCGACGCCGCGUGAGGGAUGACGGCCUUCGGGUUGUAAACCUCUUUCAGCAGGGAAGAAGCGAAAGUGACGGUACCUGC